AAUAAGUCUGUUUCCAGAAAUUGAAGCCAUUUAUAUUUUUAUUUUAUUUUUUAUUUUCUGCCUCAUUACAUAACUGGAGUCUUGUGCAGUUUUACAAAUUUGCAGUCCUGUAACAUCACCCCCCCCUCCCCUCCUUUAACCCCUCCUUGGACUCCAAGAUGUAACAACGGUGUGACAUUACAAACAUGGCGACUGUAUUUUUAAUCCGUGUGGGAGAGCAAUAUGAAAUGUCCCUGUUGCACUCUGGCAGCUCUCUGGGGACUGGCAUGAGGUGUGUGCAGUCAGCUGCCUGGCGGAGGGACCCCAUCGGUCUACUAUUGAAGAGUUUCUGCAUUGCUGUCAUUCCUGCUGGGGGUAGCUGAUAGCACCAGUGUAAGGUAAGACAGAGGCUGUGUGUUCUUUCUGCAGACUCGCCUGCUGCAUUUACAGCCGGAUUUGUUUUCUGUGUAUUCUGCUGGUAUCUUUGAAGUCUUUUGUUUGCCAUAUUUGGAGAGUGUUGCCACUGAAGACCUGAGAGUUAUUACACAGCUGACAAGAUGGCAGGAAACAUCUUCCCCAACCUGGAUAAUCUGUGUAACGUGGAUUGCAGUAACAUCCACCCCCUGGUGUGUCACCUGUGCAAUGAGCAGUAUCAGUCUCCGUGUUUGUUGGACUGUUACCACAUCUUCUGUGCCCGCUGUCUGCGAGGCCGGACCAAUGACAGCCGUCUCAGCUGCCCCCUCUGUGGGUAAGAAAGUGCACUGUGACAUUCAUGAGGAGCAUUCAAGGCUGCAUGAGGAUUAGUAAUACAAACUGAAAAAAAACCCAAACUAUUCUUAUUAUCUCAUAUGGAAACUGUAAAGCAUGAGCCUACUGCAUAAAUGAAAUCUGUGCAAGAUGAAAGAUCUAAAUCAAUAUACAUUUUUUUGGGCUUUAUUAAGCAACUUUUUAACUACUCCAACCCACCCCUUGUAGAUCUUUGCCCUCCCUCACCUGCUCCAUGUAUGAAAGUGAUCUCUUGUGACGUGCAGAGUACUUUUGUGAGACCACAGCUGUGUAUGUGCAAGGACAGGACCACAUCCAGGUGCAUCUCUGACGGCACCAUGUCUGCAUUCACUCUAAACCCCCCCUCCCUAACACUAAAGCCCAAGUUUUCCAGCUGUUGUGCUGUUUCCCAUUGGUCACCACUUCUCUUUGCCAAAAUUUUGUUUCCUUUUUUAAAUUAAAAUCAAAUCAGAGCAGCUUGUAUCACCUGUCUUGAGUAUCUAGCAGUACAAUAAAAUAGUUUCAUCAACACA
This is a long non-coding RNA of Notolabrus celidotus (New Zealand spotty), 1277 nucleotides long. RefSeq lists it as uncharacterized. The record is from RefSeq and is a predicted model, not a curated record. The transcript is spliced from 2 exons. NCBI's taxonomy places the organism in Eukaryota, Metazoa, Chordata, Actinopteri, Labriformes, Labridae.